GCUACACAUGCAAGUCGAGCGGGGGAAGGUAGCUUGCUACCGGACCUAGCGGCGGACGGGUGAGUAAUGCUUAGGAAUCUGCCUAUUAGUGGGGGACAACAUCUCGAAAGGGAUGCUAAUACCGCAUACGUCCUACGGGAGAAAGCAGGGGAUCUUCGGACCUUGCGCUAAUAGAUGAGCCUAAGUCGGAUUAGCUAGUUGGUGGGGUAAAGGCCUACCAAGGCGACGAUCUGUAGCGGGUCUGAGAGGAUGAUCCGCCACACUGGGACUGAGACACGGCCCAGACUCCUACGGGAGGCAGCAGUGGGGAAUAUUGGACAAUGGGGGGAACCCUGAUCCAGCCAUGCCGCGUGUGUGAAGAAGGCCUUAUGGUUGUAAAGCACUUUAAGCGAGGAGGAGGCUACUUUAGUUAAUACCUAGAGAUAGUGGACGUUACUCGCAGAAUAAGCACCGGCUAACUCUGUGCCAGCAGCCGCGGUAAUACAGAGGGUGCGAGCGUUAAUCGGAUUUACUGGGCGUAAAGCGUGCGUAGGCGGCUUAUUAAGUCGGAUGUGAAAUCCCCGAGCUUAACUUGGGAAUUGCAUUCGAUACUGGUGAGCUAGAGUAUGGGAGAGGAUGGUAGAAUUCCAGGUGUAGCGGUGAAAUGCGUAGAGAUCUGGAGGAAUACCGAUGGCGAAGGCAGCCAUCUGGCCUAAUACUGACGCUGAGGUACGAAAGCAUGGGGAGCAAACAGGAUUAGAUACCCUGGUAGUCCAUGCCGUAAACGAUGUCUACUAGCCGUUGGGGCCUUUGAGGCUUUAGUGGCGCAGCUAACGCGAUAAGUAGACCGCCUGGGGAGUACGGUCGCAAGACUAAAACUCAAAUGAAUUGACGGGGGCCCGCACAAGCGGUGGAGCAUGUGGUUUAAUUCGAUGCAACGCGAAGA
This 925-nucleotide ribosomal RNA is filed under the name Acinetobacter baumannii. RNAcentral describes it as "bacterial SSU rRNA". It matches the Rfam family "Bacterial small subunit ribosomal RNA", at positions 48 to 967 of the family's 1533-position model. Lineage: Bacteria; Pseudomonadati; Pseudomonadota; Gammaproteobacteria; Moraxellales; Moraxellaceae. The record is from RNAcentral.